UCAGUGAGCUGCGAUCGGCACUGAUGACACACAGAGUUGCACCUACAGGAGGGAGAGACAUUUUAACGGUGACAUGGAAAUCAAAGUGACAGCAAGAUAAAAUCAUCACCUAAAAAACUAACUUGUGCUUCAGCGUUUCUAAAGGUGAACUUCUUGAGGAACCCAGGAGUCACAAAGGCGUCGGCAAAACACAGGAGUAGGCCACUGAACAGCAACCCUGUGGUACUGAUGUUGACAGAGUGAGGUCUGGAGCUCACAAAACAAACCGUCACCUGCAGAGAGCAAGAGGAGUGUGACUUUAAAUACUACGGGCGUACCACAAACAAAGAGGCUGUGAGUUUGUGUCCAUUUGCUUAAACCAUAGAACAAUAUAGUCGCCUGUGUGUCUGUGUGUACAUAUAUAUAUAUGUAUCUGUAUGUGCACGUGUACCUCAGGUCCCAGGUUGAGAUAACAGUCCACAGACAGCACGGGGUGUGUGUAGUUCUUGGUGCUGAGUGGAAAUAGCUUCUGGCUGGUGUGUUGGAGAUAUUUUUCCAGAAGGAGCUGAGCCGGUGUAGCCAAGAAAAGGUGCUUGCUGUCUGGGGCGCAGAUGUACUGAGAGGGCCCCACUGAUGUUGGAACAUCUGUCAUCUGGAGAAAUGUAACAUUUUUGUUUAAUAACAUGGUCCUAUGCCAAAAUGAAUGUCUGUUACAUUCAGGACCUUGCCAAAUGAGUUCAUACAGUGCUAAAUGGCAGCAGGUAAAUCUCUAUAAUUGCAGUUUUAAGAUCUGUUUGUGGCAAUAUGUGUUGCUGCACCAGUAACAAUACGAUUUAUGUCAACCAUCUGCCAGAACUGAAGAAGGGAGAAACCUUAGAGCAGGCUACAGCAACUUGGAGUACAAUGGAAAAAUCAAGAAAGCAUCCAGGCAAAGUUUCCGAUAUGCCAUUUCUCUAACGGAAAUCCAACUUUCAGAAGAUGGAUUACAGUGUAAAGGAAGAAUAGACAGCAAGGCGUAUGUCAUAAGCACGCGUAAGGAGUGUUUGUGUAAUUACUGUAACUGUCAGAAGGGGGAGACAGAAGGUCUGCACAGCAGUAAAAAGCUUCAAUUAAACAUCUAUAUUAUACUGUGUUCUUAUUUAAAUUUAGAUUAUCAUUUGACCUUAUGUAGCUGCUGACACUGUGUUAUAUGAUGUGCAACUCACUAUUAAGUAAAGUAAUAACUAUUAGGCAUUCAGAAAAUGUGUUUUAAUGUGACAAAAGAGUCAUAUUUAUACUUCUUUGGCACCUACCUUGGUCUUGAUAAUAAAUGUUCUGUAUCCUCCAAUGGCGAUCUGCUUCUUCAUGACACUGAAACUGUUGAAUCUGCAGACAAGCAGCCCGGCACUGUGUAGCCUCAGGGUGAAGUCCACAUCAUGGCAGGUGAAGCGGUUCUGGUCGUACUGGACGUUUUGACUCCGGUCGACAUUGAGGAGGAGGAAGUCAUGAAGUGACAAACGACAUACCCAAUCAGAUGUGAGAGGCAGCCGCAUACUCUCCAGUUGGCCUCCUUGUUGGCUGAAGCUGAAGUAGUGCUCUUUGGAUUUUGGAAUGAUGAAGUAGAGCUGGAUCUCUUCUCCAAGCAAUAGAUAUCCACCUCCAUCAGCCUAAUCAGCAUCCGAGAGAGAAUACCCAGGAAGUGCAGAUACGCUCCUGUCUUACCCACCUGAUCAUGAAAAAAUACAAAGGGAAAUAAUCUGCUUGCCCAUGCAACAGACAUGUGUGGCAGGAAUGAAGUACAUCGUGGCAGCCCGCUGCCAUCACUGGCUGUGAUGAUGUCAUGGAGGGCACGAGGAAGGAGCAAAGAGGGAGGACGACUGACUCCUCGAGUCCAGGAGCAGCUCAGAUGAGGAGAGGAGGCUUGUGGGGACAAGGAGCCAGAGGAUGUGGAUUUGGAGUGUUGGCGACGAGACUGAGGAGGGGGCGGUCGUUGAGGUUGACUUUGGACUAUUUGCAGCUGAGGGGAUGUUUGCGUGUAAAGUUGAGAAUUUGACUGAGAUAAAGGCUGAAUUUGAAUCUGGGGCUGUAGCUGUGUCUGUGAGAUCGGCUGGCUCUGGGAAUAACUUUGAACUUGAGUUUGGGUUUGGUGGUGUGGUGCUUGUUGAGGAUAUUGAAAAGACUGAGAGGACGGCUGCGGCUGAAGUUGAGCCUGUGAUUGUGAUGGAGAUUGCAUGCUGUCCAUGGUCCCUUUCUGCACAUUUGGUGAGGUGGUGGUUUGAGCAGGGAAGGGAUCUAGCGCUCCACUUUCUGGGCAUGACUGCAACGGUUGGCUGGAUGACAGCAGAGACUCUCCUACAAAUAGCAGGAGGAAGAAAGGAGCAAAGUUUUUUUUUUAUUAAACUACCAAUCAUAUCAGCUAAAAUAUCUCUUCAAAUAAUAAAAAUAUUAUUUCUUUGUCUAUGUA
Long non-coding RNA from Amphiprion ocellaris (clown anemonefish), 2422 nucleotides. RefSeq lists it as uncharacterized. The record is from RefSeq and is a predicted model, not a curated record. Lineage: Eukaryota; Metazoa; Chordata; Actinopteri; Pomacentridae. The transcript has 5 exons.